GCUCAAACUGAACGCUGGCGGCAGGCCUAACACAUGCAAGUCGAGCGGAAACGAUGGAAGCUUGCUUCCAGGCGUCGAGCGGCGGACGGGUGAGUAAUGCGCAGGAAUUUGCCCAGCAGUGGGGGAUAGCCCGGAGAAAUCCGGAUUAAUACCGCAUAUACCCCGGGGGAAAGAGGGCCUCUCCUUGGAAGCUCUUGCUGUUGGAUGAGCCUGCGUCGGAUUAGCUAGUUGGUAGGGUAAAGGCCUACCAAGGCGACGAUCCGUAGCUGGUCUGAGAGGAUGAUCAGCCACACUGGAACUGAGACACGGUCCAGACUCCUACGGGAGGCAGCAGUGGGGAAUAUUGGACAAUGGGCGCAAGCCUGAUCCAGCCAUGCCGCGUGUGUGAAGAAGGCUCUAGGGUUGUAAAGCACUUCAACCUGGGAGGAAAGGUUAAGGUUUAAUACGCUUUAGCUGUGACGUUACCAACAGACUAAGCACCGGCUAACUCCGUGCCAGCAGCCGUGGUAAUACGGAGGGUGCAAGCGUUAAUCGGAAUUACUGGGCGUAAAGCGCGCGUAGGUGGUUUGAUAAGUUGGAUGUGAAAGCCCCGGGCUCAACCUGGGAACUGCAUUCAAAACUGUCUCACUAGAGUACGAUAGAGGGGGGUAGAAUUUCAGGUGUAGCGGUGAAAUGCGUAGAGAUCGGAAGGAACAUCAGUGGCGAACGCGGCCCCCUGGAUUGACACUGACACUGAGGUGCGAAAGCGUGGGUAGCAAACAGGAUUAGAUACCCUGGUAGUCCAUGCCGUAAACGAUGUCAACUAGCCGUUGGAAGACUUGAUCUUUUAGUGGCGCAGCUAACGCAAUAAGUUGACCGCCUGGGGAGUACGGCCGCAAGGUUAAAACUCAAAUGAAUUGACGGGGGCCCGCACAAGCGGUGGAGCAUGUGGUUUAAUUCGAUGCUACGCGAAAAACCUUACCUACUCUUGACAUCCCGUGAACUUUCCAGAGAUGGAUUGGUGCCUUCGGGAACACGGUGACAGGUGCUGCAUGGCUGUCGUCAGCUCGUGUCGUGAGAUGUUGGGUUAAGUCCCAUAACGAGCGCAACCCUUGUCCUUAGUUGCCAGCACGUAAUGGUGGAACUCUAAGGAGACUGCCGGUGAUAAACCGGAGGAAGGUGGGGACGACGUCAAGUCAUCAUGGCCCUUAUGAGUAGGGCUACACACGUGCUACAAUGGUCGGUACAGAGGGCUGCCAAGCCGCGAGGUGGAGCGAAUCCCUUAAAGCCGAUCGUAGUCCGGAUCGGAGUCUGCAACUCGACUCCGUGAAGUCGGAAUCGCUAGUAAUCGCGAAUCAGCAUGUCGCGGUGAAUACGUUCCCGGGCCUUGUACAGACCGCCCGUCACGCCAUGGGAGUGGAUUGCACCAGAAGUGGCUAGUGUAACCGUAAGGGACACGGUCACCACGGUGUGGUUUAUGACUGGGGUGAAGUCGUAACAAGGUAGCCGUAGGGGAACCUGCGGCUGGAUCACCUCCUUU
This 1519-nucleotide ribosomal RNA is filed under the name uncultured prokaryote. RNAcentral's name for it is "partial 16S ribosomal RNA". It matches the Rfam family "Bacterial small subunit ribosomal RNA". The record is from RNAcentral.